GUGGGUAUAGUGUAAUGGCAACACAAUGGUCUCCAAAACCAUUAAUCAAAGUUCGAACCUUUGUACCUGUGCCA
RNAcentral lists this transfer RNA (74 nucleotides) under Clostridium estertheticum. RNAcentral describes it as "tRNA-Trp". It matches the Rfam family "tRNA". Rfam says of the family: Transfer RNA (tRNA) molecules are approximately 80 nucleotides in length. Their secondary structure includes four short double-helical elements and three loops (D, anti-codon, and T loops). The record is from RNAcentral. Lineage: Bacteria; Bacillati; Bacillota; Clostridia; Eubacteriales; Clostridiaceae.